UCAGACAUAGUGUAGUGGUAGCACGGCCUCUUUUCUUGAAAUCUGCAUGAGAGUUUUGAGGUAGGAUCUGGGUUCGAAUCCUGGUGUCUGAA
This is a non-coding RNA of Mycena epipterygia, 92 nucleotides long. The record is from the annotation of a GenBank genome assembly. NCBI's taxonomy places the organism in Eukaryota, Fungi, Basidiomycota, Agaricomycetes, Agaricales, Mycenaceae.